UUCAUGCCCACCAGGUUCUAUGCCAAAAAUAAAUUGCCGCCCACCCUUUACUACAUUGAGAAGUAGAAGAGUCCUUCGUGAAGACUAUUAUCUAUCUCGUCGAUUUUCUAUUUUUUCUUAAUUAUCACAUGCCAAAAUUUAACAUGGGAUUUAUGAGGUAUAGAAGAGGAGGAGUCCUUCUAUGUGAAGACUCUUCUACAUCACAUAAAGCAUCAAAGAAUUAUUUCUCUGCAUGA
RNAcentral lists this long non-coding RNA (236 nucleotides) under Elaeis guineensis (African oil palm). RNAcentral describes it as "long non-coding RNA (EGUI_LNC051702)". The record is from RNAcentral. Lineage: Eukaryota; Viridiplantae; Streptophyta; Magnoliopsida; Arecales; Arecaceae.